UACGGAGGAUGCGAGCGUUAUCCGGAUUUAUUGGGUUUAAAGGGUGCGCAGGCGGCACGGCAAGCCGGCGGUCAAAUCGCGGGGCUCAACCCCGCCCAGCCGUCGGAACUGCCGGGCUAGAGUGGGCGAGAAGUGCGCGGAAUGCGUGGUGUAGCGGUGAAAUGCAAAGAUAUCACGCAGAACUCCGAUUGCGAAGGCAGCGCACCGGCGCCCUACUGACGCUCAGGCACGAAAGCGUGGGUAUCGAACAGG
Molecule: ribosomal RNA, 252 nt
Filed under: uncultured bacterium
Lineage: Bacteria
Description: partial 16S ribosomal RNA
Rfam family: Bacterial small subunit ribosomal RNA
Source: RNAcentral